RNAcentral lists this long non-coding RNA (909 nucleotides) under Camponotus floridanus (Florida carpenter ant). RNAcentral's name for it is "uncharacterized LOC112639076, transcript variant X3". Lineage: Eukaryota; Metazoa; Arthropoda; Insecta; Hymenoptera; Formicidae. The record is from RNAcentral.
AUCUUGUCUUAGAGCUGGAUCACUGCCAUUAAGUUAAAUAAAUUUAUCAGAAGAAGUAAGAUAUAGAAGUGAAGAAGAAUAUUUUAUGUAAUAUAAAAUUAUGUAUGUAUAUAAUAGGUGUAUAUCAGAAUUCAUUGUAUCUUGUAAUUUACGUGCAAUAUGUUUUCCAUAGCACAAGUUACAAUUAGUUUCAAUAUUAGGAGCAGGACUCCUUGUUGGUACUGCGCUAGCGAUUAUACCUGACUGUACCUGAGGGUGUAAGAGCAUUAUUUACUGUGGAUGGUAUUAUUAAUGAAAAAGGCAAUUUACAUACUUUAACUUGGAAUUAGUUUAGUACUUGGUUUAUGCUUUUAAUUGAUCAAUGUUCAGCCAGAAAAAGUGGAGGAAGACAAGAAAAGUAUUACAGCAACCUUAGGUCUUAUAGUAGAUGCUGCUAGUUGAUUGGCGGUGUUGCAUUGGGAGCUGCUGCUACAUCUCAAGCUGAUGUCGAAGUGUCUUAGUUUUUCUUCGCAAUAAUGUUACACAAGGCGCCAGAUGCAUUUGGACUUGUGUCAAUUUCUUCUUCAUGAAGGUGUAGAUAGAAAGUAAGAAAAUAAGCAGACACUUAUUAAUUUUCUCACUUGCGGCACCGUGUCUUGCACUUGUGACAUAUUUUGGAAUUGGAAAAGUAAUGACAUUCAGGACUGCCGCGCAAGACUGCACGCGCCAAUCAGGCGCGAGAACGGACGCGGACGCGCGAAGACUCCCAAUCAGGAGCGAGGACUGCCGUGCGUGCGCGAAGACGUCCAAUCAGGCGCGAGAACUGCCGCGCACGCCGCCAAGACUCCCAAUCAGGCGCGAGGACUGCCGCGGACGCGCGAAGACUGCCAAUCAGGAGCGAGGACUGCCGCGCACGCCGCCAUAACUGCC